Long non-coding RNA from Thunnus maccoyii (southern bluefin tuna), 228 nucleotides. RefSeq lists it as uncharacterized. The record is from RefSeq and is a predicted model, not a curated record. NCBI's taxonomy places the organism in Eukaryota, Metazoa, Chordata, Actinopteri, Scombriformes, Scombridae. The transcript is spliced from 3 exons.
UACCUUAACCAUAUUGCAAUGUUUGCAAAACCUAUUCAUUUGAUUUGAGCAAAAAAUAACUGCGUUUACGACCCGCUGCAUCAUAUCAGCAAACACUUGAAAUGAAGGAUCAUGCUGUGUAUUUCCUUCCUAUAAGGUUUUGCCAAAACCAGGGCUCUGCGGCUGCUGUUCUUGGCCACUCCACAAUGCUUUUCCCACACAAUCUCCUCCUUAGGCGCAGGAAGUGAG